RNAcentral lists this long non-coding RNA (260 nucleotides) under Lathyrus oleraceus (garden pea). RNAcentral describes it as "Pisum sativum (pea) long non-coding RNA (PSAT_LNC013486)". Lineage: Eukaryota; Viridiplantae; Streptophyta; Magnoliopsida; Fabales; Fabaceae. The record is from RNAcentral.
AGAAAGCAGGAACUCUUCUAUCCACAUGUGACGGACUCAACAAAGAUCUUGGGUUAAUAUCCACAAUGCAUCAACACAAGGUGUGUGAGCAAAGUGGAUGACACAUUGAAUAGCAGGAGAUGGAUUACACAUCUCUUUUAUCUGCCAAUUGCCUUAUCAAAGGACUUUUCCUGCCUGGCACAAAGAUAAACAAACACAAGCAUUGCCUCUUAAGGAGGACUUCAGACAGGCGCCUGCCCAAGUAACAGGACAGGUCUUCC